RNAcentral lists this unclassified non-coding RNA (905 nucleotides) under Bombus terrestris (buff-tailed bumblebee). RNAcentral describes it as "misc RNA ENSBTSG00005031698.1". Lineage: Eukaryota; Metazoa; Arthropoda; Insecta; Hymenoptera; Apidae. The record is from RNAcentral.
AUGGUUAGCGUUGUUGAGUUGCGAGGGGUGUUAGCGUUGUUGAGAGUAGAGUUGUUAGCGUUGUGGAAUUGCGUGAGUUACUAGCGUAGCUGAGAGGUUGAGUUGUUGGCGUUGUCCAGUUGCGAGAGUGAUCGAAUUAGAGUAAGAUUGUCAUAAUUAGUUCCAUAUUAAAUAACCAUCGUUUUCUGUCUCAUUAAUAUCUGUAUAACUAAUUUAUUGUAUAUAAAUUACAAAUAAUAAAUAGUAUCAAAGAAAUUGUAUACCUAAUAUUUCCGCGAUACUACAGUAUUAUAUAAAAAGAAGAAAUGGAAGAGCAGUGGAGACAGGAGGAGUGCAGUACGAUAACGAAAGAUGUCACCAGGACGAAAACUGGAAGCUAGCAAAGAAUAACAAAGAAGGUAAAAUAACUCCAGACACAAGUGCCGCAGGAAACCUAGAUACAGAAAAGCAGAGAUGGCUGCAAGAAUUACCAUUAAGAACCUUCUUCAGCUCACUAACGGAAGAAAUAGACGCUAACCCGACAAGUAAAACCACAACUCAUUCAACUCACAUUACAAAACCACCACCAAAAUUUGUUGAGGCCCAAAUAAUAGACCCGCUUAUUAAUUAUUAAACAAUAUAGUCGGGAAGGACAAUUACACAAUAAAACAAACAAAAUUAGAACAAGUAAAGAUUCAAACAAACACCCCAGAAAUUUAUAGGAAAGUGUUAAUAUAACGGAUAAUGAUACAACAUUGAAAGCACAAUAUGAACCAAACGCUAUAAACAGAAACACUGAUCCCCAAGAUAACCGAAGUUAUGCACAAAUAACCCAAAGCAUUAGCCAAGCAAAUCGCCUCCUCAAAUGUAUACAAGGGAUAUCUACUCUACAAUAAUUUGCAUGGAUUUCACUCAUGUUUUCUUUU